AAUCUAAAGGAAUAUAUUCAUGUUCAAAUUCGCCAGGAGAUGUGGCGAGCAAGUAUCCCAAAUGUGCCUAGACAGUACUACCAGAGAACUUGGUCAAACUGCAUGUGUGAUUGCCCUUUCCUAAGAAAGAUAACUAUACUGUUGACUACAGUUCAUAAGUUAAUUUCCAGACAGUAUAAUUUGGCAUGUUAAGUUGUUAACCAUAGUGAAACCACAACUUGACACAGGCGUCACAAACUCCUCUUAUGAUAAUCAACAAGGGAAACAGAAAUUUGAAGGAAGCGCUCCCUCACCAGAGAAUCUCCAAGCUCGGUAGCAUUUGCAGCGCCAGCAGCAACCAGACUCCCC
Molecule: long non-coding RNA, 348 nt
Filed under: Oryza brachyantha (malo sina)
Lineage: Eukaryota; Viridiplantae; Streptophyta; Magnoliopsida; Poales; Poaceae
Description: long non-coding RNA (OBRA_LNC003456)
Source: RNAcentral